GUUUGGUAAACUGGGAUUGCUCAAGUGGUAGAGCAUAGGACUCUUACCCUCAGGAUUGUGGGUUCAAACCCCACAUUGGGCA
Non-coding RNA from Podarcis lilfordi (Lilford's wall lizard), 82 nucleotides. NCBI's taxonomy places the organism in Eukaryota, Metazoa, Chordata, Lepidosauria, Squamata, Lacertidae. The record is from the annotation of a GenBank genome assembly.